UAGUCCACGCCCUAAACGAUGCUUACUGGAUGUGUGUUAAUGUUAUGCGCAUCUGAGGGAAACCAUUAAGUAAGCCACCUGGGGAGUACGUCGGCAACGAUGAAACUCAAAGGAAUUAACGGGGACCCGCACAAGCGGUGGAUGAUGUGGAUUAAUUCGAUGCAACGCGAAAAACCUUACCUACACUUGACAUGUCAGGAACUUUCCAGAGAUGGAUUGGUGCUCGAAAGAGAACCUGAACACAGGUGCUGCAUGGCUGUCGUCAGCUCGUGUCGUGAGAUGUUGGGUUAAGUCCCGCAACGAGCGCAACCCUUAUCCUUAGUUGCUACGCAAGGGCACUCUAAGGAGACUGCCGGUGACAAACCGGAGGAAGGUGGGGAUGACGUCAAGUCCUCAUGGCCCUUAUGUGUAGGGCUUCACACGUCAUACAAUGGUCGGUACAGAGGGUCGCCAAGCCGCGAGGUGGAGCUAAUCCCAGAAAACCGAUCGUAGUCCGGAUCGUAGU
RNAcentral lists this ribosomal RNA (505 nucleotides) under uncultured bacterium. Its description in RNAcentral is "bacterial SSU rRNA". It matches the Rfam family "Bacterial small subunit ribosomal RNA", at positions 791 to 1304 of the family's 1533-position model. The record is from RNAcentral.